AGAAUUCGCCCUUAGAGUUUGAUCCUGGCUCAGGAUGAACGCUAGCUACAGGCUUAACACAUGCAAGUCGAGGGGCAUCAGUUUGGUUUGCUUGCAAACCAAAGCUGGCGACCGGCGCACGGGUGAGUAACACGUAUCCAACCUGCCUCAUACUCGGGGAUAGCCUUUCGAAAGAAAGAUUAAUAUCCGAUAGCAUAUAUUUCCCGCAUGGGUUUUAUAUUAAAGAAAUUCGGUAUGAGAUGGGGAUGCGUUCCAUUAGUUUGUUGGGGGGGUAACGGCCCACCAAGACUACGAUGGAUAGGGGUUCUGAGAGGAAGGUCCCCCACAUUGGAACUGAGACACGGUCCAAACUCCUACGGGAGGCAGCAGUGAGGAAUAUUGGUCAAUGGACGCGAGUCUGAACCAGCCAAGUAGCGUGAAGGAUGACUGCCCUAUGGGUUGUAAACUUCUUUUAUAUGGGAAUAAAGUUGUCCACGUGUGGAUUUUUGUAUGUACCAUAUGAAUAAGGAUCGGCUAACUCCGUGCCAGCAGCCGCGGUAAUACGGAGGAUCCGAGCGUUAUCCGGAUUUAUUGGGUUUAAAGGGAGCGUAGGCGGAUUGUUAAGUCAGUUGUGAAAGUUUGCGGCUCAACCGUAAAAUUGCAGUUGAUACUGGCAGUCUUGAGUGCAGUAGAGGUGGGCGGAAUUCGUGGUGUAGCGGUGAAAUGCUUAGAUAUCACGAAGAACUCCGAUUGCGAAGGCAGCUCACUGGAGUGUAACUGACGCUGAUGCUCGAAAGUGUGGGUAUCAAACAGGAUUAGAUACCCUGGUAGUCCACACAGUAAACGAUGAAUACUCGCUGUUUGCGAUAUACAGUAAGCGGCCAAGCGAAAGCAUUAAGUAUUCCACCUGGGGAGUACGCCGGCAACGGUGAAACUCAAAGG
Molecule: ribosomal RNA, 921 nt
Filed under: uncultured bacterium
Lineage: Bacteria
Description: bacterial SSU rRNA
Rfam family: Bacterial small subunit ribosomal RNA
Source: RNAcentral